This 251-nucleotide ribosomal RNA is filed under the name uncultured Caulobacteraceae bacterium. Its description in RNAcentral is "partial 16S ribosomal RNA". It matches the Rfam family "Bacterial small subunit ribosomal RNA", at positions 524 to 774 of the family's 1533-position model. The record is from RNAcentral. Lineage: Bacteria; Pseudomonadati; Pseudomonadota; Alphaproteobacteria; Caulobacterales; Caulobacteraceae.
UACGAAGGGGGCUAGCGUUGCACGGAAUUACUGGGCGUAAAGGGAGCGUAGGCGGACAGUUUAGUCAGAGGUGAAAGCCCAGGGCUCAACCUUGGAAUUGCCUUUGAUACUGGCUGUCUUGAGUUUGGGAGAGGUGUGUGGAACUCCGAGUGUAGAGGUGAAAUUCGUAGAUAUUCGGAAGAACACCAGUGGCGAAGGCGACACACUGGCCCAAUACUGACGCAAAGGCUCGAAAACGCGGGGAGCAAACA